This is a long non-coding RNA of Felis catus (domestic cat), 6589 nucleotides long. RefSeq lists it as uncharacterized. The record is from RefSeq and is a predicted model, not a curated record. The transcript has 20 exons. NCBI's taxonomy places the organism in Eukaryota, Metazoa, Chordata, Mammalia, Carnivora, Felidae.
UUGGAGCGUCACAAGUAGCUGUUUCCGGUGACGUCAGGGAGGACGACAUCUGUUAUCAGGAAGUUGGCUCAGGUGAAGUCUUAUUUGGUGUGCCCGCAGUCCUCUAUUUUUGUACCUCUGGAGGGAGAGGGAGCAAAAGGCUCGCGGGUUUCCUUACCUACACCAAACAUGUGCUAGGGAUACUCACUGAACACGACAAGUGUGGCACCAUCUUUCAUUUGCUUACCAUCUUGAGAAGAUAAGGCAAAAGAAAUGGUUGUGCAGUGAGGCCUCUAAGAAGUAAACCUAAGAGAGUAAAGGAAAAGAUUUUUCUUCCCAACAGCCAUAGAUGUUACUGCAAAAUAACUUAAUUUUGGAGUCAGAAGAAAGGCAUGUGUGGACAAAGAGGCUAUGUAGAAGCCAGAAAGGGUGCUCUCACCAGAGAACAAAUCUGCUGGCACCUUGAUCUUGGGCUUCCCAGCCUCCAGAACUUUACCCAUAGUCCACUGUGGUCUAGAAGCAGAUGAUUUUGCUGAUAUAUCAUCGGAAGGUUGAUGGUAGCCUAAUGCUACAUCACAAUGCCUGUCACUCACUUCACUUCAUUUCAUCAUGUAGCAUUUUAUCAUCUCAUAUCAUCACAUGAAGAAGGUUUCAGUUAUCUGUGAUCAACCACAGUCUGGAAACAGAUGAUCCUCCUUCUGACAAAUGGUCAGCAGGUCAGUAGCAGCCUAACGCUACGUCACGCUGCCUGCAUCAUUCGCCCCACUUCAUCUCGUUUCAUGGGCAUUUUGUCAUCUCACAUCAUCACAAGAAGGGCAAAGCCCAUUAGCAGGUAGCACAAGCUGAAUCCUGAUUCUCUAGCUGCAAAGCACGGUGUGAAGAAUGAUGAAGAUUAGCUCAUUCUUGAGUAGAUGGUGUGAAGUGCAGUUGUGAGGGCUGGAGUUGCUGUAGUCACUUUGUCACCACGAGGAAAACUGGCCCGAAGAAGAAGAAUCUGAUGCACAGGGAAGAGCAGAGCCAAGUAGAAGAGAACACUGGAGGUGGACCUGAAGCAUACUCUCUCUCUGAGCCUUUUUGAGCCACAUGAGGACUCUGUGUGUCAUGUACCAAGAGCAGAAAUGGAGUGUCAGAAAACGUUUUACAGCAACCUUGAAGCAGUUUCACCAAACAAGCAGAAAAAAUUAAGAAACAAUAGCAUUCAUUACACAGGCAGCAGCCAAAUGUGCUUGGAAUCAGUGAGUGAUGGAGAAGAACUUUCUGAAGGAAAUGCUUAAAGCUAACUAAUCACUAAAUUAUUUACCAGUAUAGCAGCACCAUAUAUGAGGAAGCAGAAUUUCAGAAAAGACAAAAAAGUCACAGCAUCUCAACGUGAGGAAAUAUCUUCAGAGUAAUUGACUGAUUCAUUAGUCAGAUGCAUCCUCCUCACAAAUGGACAGAUGCUGUUCAAGUUACUCGUUGUGUUUCUUACACAACUGAAAACAAGAUGAAAGGAUAAAUAAAAAUAAUUUCUUAGUCUGAAGAUAAGCUGAGCUAUAUGAAGAAUGUAAUAGAUGAAAUGUGAUGCAAGCUGGACGGGACAAUAGAAAUGUCAAGAAAAACAUUUUUUUUAAUUGUGGAUAAAGUUCAGAGUUAACCUACUGGCCAAAGGCAUCAGUGCCCAGAAGGCUGGGGAUGGUUCUCAGCCAGAAGGAAGGAAAGAGAUGCUGGUGGGAAGGAGCCCAAGACGUUCCUCCUCUGAGAAGGAGGCCAAACCAGAAGAAUAUUUCAGAAAAUUGAUAUAAUAGAGCCUUGAACCACUCCAGGUGCAGUCCUGUACAGCUGUGGAAAGCUUUGUACACUUUCUAACAACUUCUCCAGGAAAAGGUACAACUGCUUCUACUUUGGUAACAUUUGUCUCUCUGUUAAGGAGACUCAGUGGCCAUUUGAUGACACAUGAUUCACUGGUGAACUUUACAGAAAUAGUCUAAAAGGGAAAAGUUGGCCUUUCAGUCAAUCAGCAACCAAUGAAUGAGUUGGAGUGAGAUGGUUCAGAGAUUUAGUCACUGCUGGGUUCAACCUGGUUUCCAGUGAUGGAUGGGGGUGGAGAUCCAGGCAGUGAGGAAACAGGAAAAUUUAAGAUGAGAAAGAUGUAACUAUAUAGGUCAGUGGGGGCAGGACAACUGUAGCAUCUUGUUUCCUUGAUUAACUACUAUUUAAAUUCAUAAUUUAACCCCCAGGAGGGGGUCCCAGUAGCAGGUCCUUGCCCACUGAAACAGGACCCUUUCUGAACGAUGAAAGGAGAUUCUUCCAAUAGGAAUGUGAUGGUAUAUUUUGGAGAUGAUCAAAGAAGGAGAUAGACUGUACUAUGAAAAUAAUAAAUGUCAAGGUUGUUUAGCACCCAUUACCUCACAAUUUAUGAGUCAAUGUUUGUGCAGACUUCUGAGUUCAUAAGGUAAGAGUAAAUAGAAAUAAUUACCAUUAAAUACCAAGUUUUUCAGUCCUCACCCCAAAGGCUGUAUUUACAGAAGCAGUCUUAAACACCUCUCUGAAGAGCCAUUAGCCAAACUGAUGAAAGAGGAAGAUCCUUUCUGAGAGCACUAUAAUUCAGCAAUCACAGCAACAUCUUGGUGUUAGAAAGAACAUAGAGCAGCACUGGAUUAAGACAUACUGAAUCACAAGUUCAUAGUUCCUUCUUUCCCAUCAAAGAUACAAAGAAUUGAUCUUUUUAAAGCCACAGCUUCUUUGUUGAUAAAAAUGGGGAUAAUAAUAGCAGUUUUUCAAGGUUGGUAUGAAGACUAAGAAGAACAUGUGUAAAAUUCCCAUCAAAAUGCUAGCAUUGGGGCGCCUGGGUGGCUCAGUCGGUUAAGAGUCCGACUUCAGCUCAGGUCAUGAUCUCACGGUCCGUGGGUUCGAGCCCUGCGUCAGGCUCUGUGUUGACAGCUCAGAGCCUAGAGCCUGUUUCAGAUUCUGUGUCUCCCUCUCUCUCUGCCCCUUCCCUGUUUACACUCUGUCUCUGUCUCAAAAAUAAAUAAACAUUUAAAAAAAUUUUUUUAAUGCUAGCAUAUAUUAAAGUUAAAGUGAAUCGUAGCUAUUAGAAUGGUGGUCAGAGCUAACCGAUAAAAAGCCUUAUAUGCUAACUACUUUGUGUACUUUCUUCUACUUUUUCUUUUAAAUCCAUUGACUCUAUGCUAGUAUUUAACUUUUUGCCUCAUACUUAUUUUUACCUCUCUGACCAUCUGAAGAUUAAUUGUGCCCCACUGUCUGCUUGACUUUUUCAUCCCAGCUUUACUCCUCAGUGUUCUAUACUAUAUCUCCCCUUGACUCCAUGAUCUGCAUCUAAUGGGCAAGUUCCAUCCAGUCCCUACAUCUACUUUAGAAGUGGGUAGUCGGGGAAUAUCUGUGAAGACUUUAUGGAUGAACUAGGAUAUGAGUUACACCUUGAGAACAGGCAAAAUUGAAACUGAAGAGGACUGUAUGUUUUCUUUUCAAUAUUCCAUAUAGACCACCAAGUUAUGUUUUGCGUUUGCCAUUAUAAUUGCAUCUUUUCUUACUUCAGCAUUUUGGUAUAGCAUUUCAGUAUUCCAAGAAUGGAUGACAUCAUUGUCAGGGACAAAAGAGUUGGCUUAAUUUUUGUCGAUAACAAGCUGGGUUGAUUAUUUCCUGAUGAUACGAUAGUACCUUAAUUCAGAGAUUCCUGUGCUGGUGGGAUCAUGAGUCCAGUUGUCUUCAAAUUGUGAUUUGUGAAGGCCUGGAGUACUAAAAAGAUAUUACACAGCUCUUCCUGGGGAAUCUAGAAGGGGAGAGCAAAGCAAGAUGCAGGCUGCUUGGCUCCAACCCAAGCAUUCCACUUUUAUUGCUCCAUAUCGGAUUCUAGAUAAGAUUUUAUUUAGAAAAUAAAAAAUAAUUACACAACUUGAAAAAGAAAAACUUUGGAGACUCUCUAUUUCAUAUAUGAGAAAGCACAAUCUAGUCUGUUAGCAUGCCAAUAUUAUACUAUUUAUUUUUAAACCAUUUAUGCAUUUGGCUCAGUGAAUACUUAUUGAACAUCUACUCAGUGUGUGGUGUGCUGCUCAGGUCUGAGGACAAUGCAAAAAACAAAACAAAACAAAACAAAUAGUCCUGCCCUUGAAGAAGAAAUAGCCCAGCGUAGCAGUGAUUGCUGGCUGUCUACUCAAAAUCCCUCCUUCCCUUCUUCCUUACCAUGUAAAGGCAAGCAUCGAUGUGCCCAAUGAAAAAGUAACACUUCCCUGUAGCUAGGGGUAGACAAUAAAAAGUAAGGUAAGGUAUUGGGUGAGACUUCCAGGAAAGCGCUAUAGAAGGAAACUAAACAGAGUAAAUCCAUCUUUUAUCCAUUGCUUUCUCUUCCUUCCUACUGUCUGAUAGGGAGACAUAAUUGCUGGAGUUCUCCUGGACAUGCGGCAACCUAGGGAUGGAAACCAUGUGCUGUGGAAGUUUAGAAAAAUAGAAGGGUCCUAGAAACAUGAUGACUUUGAAGUUGACACACCAGCACAGGACUGCCCAUUUAUUGAUUUCCUUUGUAUAAAUAAAAAUAAGCCUCCAACUUGUUUAAGUCACUGUUAUUAUUUUUUAAUAUUUAACAAAACCUAAUCCUAAUGGACAAGAAGACAAGUAAAGAGGCAAAUUCAGAAGGAUGAUAAAUUAUGAUAGGGAUAGAAUUUUUUAGAGAACCAUGAAGUUUAAAUGUAACCCAAGCACUGGGGUUUGGGAAAGGUUUCUUAGAGAAGUGAUAUCUAAACAGAAUCCUGUAAACUGAGUUGAAGUCAGCCAAACAAAGAGUAUGGGAAACAGGGAUAUGGAGCAGUGAGUGCAAAAACCUGGGGGGAUGGGGAGUAGGGAGAGGAUCCAAUGCCUUCUGGGAAUUUAAAGUAUUUCAGUAAAGAUAGUAGGAAGAGGGCAUGGGUGGGGGAGUGGUAAGGCAUGAGAAAGGGUCAUAAAGUGUCUUGCCUGACUAAAAAGGGAGGCCACUAAAGGAUUUUAAGCAGGGAGUAAUAUGAUAAUAUUUGGAUUUUAGGCAUAUCAUUCUAAAUUGAGGUGAUGGAAAACCAAUUAGGAGGCUGUUUUAAUAAUACUGUCAAAUUAGAGCCAAAAAAAAGGUUAAGAAAGGGAAAUUUAAAGAAUGUGGUUAUUGAUCAAAUUGGAUGAAGCAGUUGAAUCCAUAAGAAAGAAGGAAGAAUCAAGGUUAAUGUCUGGGUUCCUAGGUUGGUAAUUUCAUUCACUAAUACAAGGAAUCCAGGAAGAGGAGCAGGCUUGCUCUCUUCAAAGGACACCAAAAGAUGACCUAGAUCUGCACAUGAACACUUGUACAUGCCAGUCAUAAAAGAAGAACAACUCUAGGCCUCCGGUUUUAACAUGUUACAUAGGUUCAAAAUGGAAGGAAACAGCUAUCGAAAGAAAGAAUGAAAGCAGGGGCGGAGGGUAAGUGUGAAAGAUGGAUGAAAUUCUGCAGGCCAUAGAGAAAAUAGCAAGCAAUAGAGAAGAAAUUGGACAGAAGCAAAGAAGAAGGAUAACAUAAAGUGUUAAAAAGGCCCUAUAUCACUCAAAAUACUAUCAAGAAGCAAAAUCCAAUUCAGAAGAUUGAAGAAACUUUCAUCCACUUCCUCAUUUUUACUAGACCCACUGCCUGGAUUCCUUUGUGCACUGAGUAUGGUGUGGGCCAAGUCUAAUUUCUCAUGAAUGUUGUGUUCUGAUCAUAACUCCUGCCAGAAAUUUGGAGCAGUGUUUUUCAGAUCAACCUGGACAACAAUUACGUGCUCUGUGCACAUGUUUAACUAAACCAGUGAUCAGAAAUGACACUCUGCAGCAAAACGGCAAAGUUGGAAACGACAUCCAUGAUGGACCAGCUGCCAGUCUUGAAGAAUCUGGUCUCCAUCUGCAUUUAGUGCGUUAUCCUUUGGAUUAUUUUGUUAGUGUGGGUAAAUUUGCAAACUGGAGAAAAUGGGGAUAUACCAGAAACUUAGAAUGGAUUUGUAGGAGAUUUUCAAACUACCUGCAUGGCUUUCUUCAGUUCUUCUGUUUAUGUCAAUGAGUUCCCUGUGGCCUCAUGAGCAAAGUUGAGGAUGAAGACUUGAUUAUGAAAGGAAAAAUAGAACUUCAAUUAGGAAAAGCCAUUGUAUGACUUCACAGGAAGGAGCUGUAAAUCCCUUGGAAUUUCCUGAGUGAUAAAAAUGUCUUUGUUAUUCAUGGUGGACCCAUGACUACACCUGAGUUAUGCAAAUGAGGUGACUCAUGGAGGGUCCCUAGUUAACAUCAGGAUGGGAGCUGGUCUUGAAGGGAAGACCAACCACAUGAUUAGAGAGUUGAGGCUUCCAGCGAGCCACCUGAUACCAACUCCAUCUGCUGACCUCUGAGAAAGAGAGGAGUGGUCAAUGAUCCAAUCAACCAUUCCUACCAAAUGAAAACCCAGUAAAAACUCUGGACAUCUGAAGCUUGGGGAAACCUCCCUAGUUGGUUAUCAUACAUUGAUGUGUCAAGAGAGUGACAUGUUCUAAGGACAUGGAAGCUUCACAUUUAGGACCCUCCCAGACCUUGCCCAAUGCACUGCUCCCUUUGGCUGAUCCUCAUUUGUAUCCUUUGUAAUAAAACUGUAAUCGUAAGUAUGGUGCUUGACUGA